Molecule: ribosomal RNA, 119 nt
Filed under: Bison bison bison
Lineage: Eukaryota; Metazoa; Chordata; Mammalia; Artiodactyla; Bovidae
Source: RNAcentral
AGUCUCGGACAUAUCAGCCUGAAGGCGCUAGAUCUUGCUGCUCUCAGAAGUUAAGCAGGGUCGGGCCUGGUUAGUAUCUUGGAUGGGAGACACCUGGGAAUCCCGGGUGCUCGAGGCUU